AGAACAGAAUUCUGUCACGGAUGUAGAAAGAGCCUUGCCUGAGGACUUGUAAGAGCGAGGUGGCUAUGAAUGUGGACUUGGCAUGAGGCAGACCUGGCGUGAAUCCUGGCUCCCUCAUUUAUGAGCUGGGCAAUCUCAGGUACUGCCCAGUUUUAGCAAUGAAAGUCCCACGUCACGGGAAACCUCUGAGUCCUGGACAAAUCAAGAUGACAUUUUCUAUGCAUAUGCAAGCAUUAUGCACGGGGCACCUGCCACACCUGCUGCAAGGACCUGGUCCUGCCCCUAGGCCAUCUGCUACGCCAAGGAGACCCUGUGUGUGCAUACAAUACAGUUAAAUAUCAAGGACUGGGGUAGAAAAGGAAGGAAGAAUGGAAGGAGGAAUAGCGGGAGACAGGACAGCCUCAGCGCAAACUUUCAUUUCCUUCCCACCAGAGGGCACUAGGAUCCCCCUCUCCCCACUGCAGUGCUGGCCUGUGAGUUGAACUUUCCACAAUUGCCCAAACCUCUCCUAUAUGACAAGGAGCCCUCAGCCAUUCUGGCCACAGCACCCAGUCCCUCUCCUUAGGAAGCAGGUACAAUCCGUCUAACACAGCCUUGCAGGAGGGUGAGUGGGCGUGGGUGUGCGUGUGCAUCUCUGUAUGUGGGGGUCUGUUUCUGCGUGUGUAUCUCUGUGUCUCUGCACCUGUGUGUGUCCCUGUAUCUGUGCACACGCCCUCUCAGCAGCAGCGUCUGGUGAUGAAGCAGUUGGGGCUGGUGCUUCUGCUGGGAGUGGCGG
This 775-nucleotide long non-coding RNA is filed under the name Homo sapiens (human). Its description in RNAcentral is "non-protein coding LINC02520:38". The record is from RNAcentral. Lineage: Eukaryota; Metazoa; Chordata; Mammalia; Primates; Hominidae.